CGGGUGAGUAACGCGUGAGGAACCUGCCUUGUACUGGGGGACAACAGUUAGAAAUGACUGCUAAUACCGCAUAAGCGCACAGUAUCGCAUGAUACAGUGUGAAAAACUCCGGUGGUACAAGAUGGACCCGCGUCUGAUUAGCUAGUUGGUAAGGUAACGGCUUACCAAGGCGACGAUCAGUAGCCGACCUGAGAGGGUGACCGGCCACAUUGGGACUGAGACACGGCCCAA
This 231-nucleotide ribosomal RNA is filed under the name uncultured bacterium. RNAcentral's name for it is "partial 16S ribosomal RNA". It matches the Rfam family "Bacterial small subunit ribosomal RNA", at positions 103 to 334 of the family's 1533-position model. The record is from RNAcentral.